CCCAGUUCACCUAAACCCUUCAAUGGAUUCUUCUAGGUCCCAGUUUACCUACACCCUUCAAUGGAUUCUUCUAGGUCCCAGUUCACCUAAACCCUUCAAUGGAUUCUACCAGGUCCCAGUUUACCUAAACCCUUCAAUGGAUUCUUCUAGGUCCCAGUUUACCUAAACCCUUCAAUGGAUACUUCAGGUCCCAGACAGUUUACCUAAACCCUUCAAUGGAUUCUACCAGGUCCCAGACAGUUUACCUAACCCCUUCAAAGGAUUCUUCCAGGUCCCAGACAGUUUACCUAAACCCUUCAAUGGAUUCAUCAGGUCCCAGUUUACCUAAACCCUUCAAUGGAUACUUCAGGUCCCAGACAGUUUACCUAAACCCUUCAAUGGACUCGUCAGGUCCCAGUUUACCUAAACCCUUCAAUGGAUACUUCAGGUCCCAGACAGUUUACCUAAACCCUUCAAUGGACUCGUCAGGUCCCAGUUUACCUAAACCCUUCAAUGGAUACUUCAGGUCCCAGACAGUUUACCUAAACCCUUCAAUGGAUUCUACCAGGUCACAGUUUUCCUAAACACUUCAAUGGAUUCUUC
Molecule: long non-coding RNA, 582 nt
Organism: Oncorhynchus tshawytscha (Chinook salmon)
Lineage: Eukaryota; Metazoa; Chordata; Actinopteri; Salmoniformes; Salmonidae
Source: Ensembl